GAUGAACGCUGGCGGCGUGCCUAAUACAUGCAAGUCGAGCGAACAGACGAGGAGCUUGCUCCUCUGACGUUAGCGGCGGACGGGUGAGUAACACGUGGAUAACCUACCUAUAAGACUGGGAUAACUUCGGGAAACCGGAGCUAAUACCGGAUAAUAUAUUGAACCGCAUGGUUCAAUAGUGAAAGACGGUUUUGCUGUCACUUAUAGAUGGAUCCGCGCCGCAUUAGCUAGUUGGUAGGGUAACGGCUUACCAAGGCAACGAUGCGUAGCCGACCUGAGAGGGGGAUCGGCCACACUGGAACUGAGACACGGUCCAGACUCCGACGGGAGGCAGCAGUAGGGAAUCUUCCGCAAUGGGCGAAAGCCUGACGGAGCAACGCCGCGUGAGUGAUGAAGGGCUGCGUAUCGUAAAACUCUGUUAUUAGGGAAGAACAAAUGUGUAAGUAACUAUGCACGUCUUGACGGUACCUAAUCAGAAAGCCACGGCUAACUACGU
Molecule: ribosomal RNA, 496 nt
Filed under: uncultured bacterium
Lineage: Bacteria
Description: partial 16S ribosomal RNA
Rfam family: Bacterial small subunit ribosomal RNA
Source: RNAcentral